RNAcentral lists this ribosomal RNA (497 nucleotides) under uncultured bacterium. RNAcentral describes it as "partial 16S ribosomal RNA". It matches the Rfam family "Bacterial small subunit ribosomal RNA", at positions 28 to 507 of the family's 1533-position model. The record is from RNAcentral.
GAUGAACGCUGGCGGCGUGCCUAAUACAUGCAAGUCGAGCGAACGGACGAGAAGCUUGCUUCUCUGAUGUUAGCGGCGGACGGGUGAGUAACACGUGGAUAACCUACCUAUAAGACUGGGAUAACUUCGGGAAACCGGAGCUAAUACCGGAUAAUAUUUUGAACCGCAUGGUUCAAAAGUGAAAGACGGUCUUGCUGCCACUUAUAGAUGGAUCCGCGCUGCAUUAGCUAGUUGGUAAGGUAACGGCUUACCAAGGCAACGAUGCAUAGCCGACCUGAGAGGGUGAUCGGCCACACAGGAACUGAGACACGGUCCAGACUCCUACGGGAGGCAGCAGUAGGGAAUCUUCCGCAAUGGGCGAAAGCCUGACGGAGCAACGCCGCGUGAGUGAUGAAGGUCUUCGGAUCGUAAAACUCUGUUAUUAGGGAAGAACAUAUGUGUAAGUAACUGUGCACAUCUUGACGGUACCUAAUCAGAAAGCCACGGCUAGCUACGUG